RNAcentral lists this long non-coding RNA (1015 nucleotides) under Cyanistes caeruleus (blue tit). Its description in RNAcentral is "lncRNA (ENSCCEG00000022024.1)". Lineage: Eukaryota; Metazoa; Chordata; Aves; Passeriformes; Paridae. The record is from RNAcentral.
GAAGGUCACAAUUAGGUCACCCUUGGUCUCUUCUCCAGGUGGAACAAUCCCAAUUCUUUCGGCUUUUCCAAGCAGCAGAGCUGCUCCAUCCUUCUGAUCAUCUCGGUGCCUCCUCUGGACUCACUCCGACAGGUCCCUGUCCUUCCUACGCUCGGAUCCCAGGGAUGGAUGAGGCUCUGCAGGCAUCAGUGGCAAUUUCCAGGUAUUAUUCCCAGAAGUCUCAUUUGUCACGAAGAACCAAUGGAAGUCAGUGGCGGUGCUGCCACACACCUAGAGGUAGGUACCUGGAGGUGGUCACAGGCACCAGGGCCAUCGUGUUCCAUCGCAUCAUGACAUGUCAGCACCCAAACGUCCCUCUGGCAGCCCUGGCCGAGCAGUACCUGCAGGAACAGGUUCUACCCUUUGCUGACUUGGCCCUGCACAGGUGCUGACAGAGCCUGAAGCUGACAGAGGUCUGUUCCUGGCCCGUGGAGCUGCUCUGGAAGGUGUUUCCUACUCCCUCCCUUGUGGACGACCCUCCCUGCAGCUCACAGAAUCAUACAAUGGUUUGGGUUGGACAGGACCUUGAAGACCAUCCAGUUUGAAGAUAUACCCCCUUGUCCUGUCACUCCAGGCCCUUGUAAAUAGUCUCUCUCCAUCCUUCUUGUAGGCUGCCUUCAGGUAGUGGAAGGGGCAAUUAGAUCACCCGAGGUUUCUUCUCCAGGCCGAAGAAUUCCAAUUCUCUCAGCCUUGCCUCAGAGCAGAGCUGCUCCACCCCUCUAAUCAUCUUGGUGCCUCCUCCGGAUUCCCUCCAUCAAGUCCAUGUCCUUCCUGCGCUGGGAUCCCAGGGCUCGAUGCAGCUCUGCAGGUGGGGUCUCACCUGAGCGGGGCGGAGGGGCCCUGGACCUGCUGCCCACAGGGGUGGGGAGGCAACCCGGUAUACGAUCGGCUUUCCGACCUGCCAGCGCACGUGGCUGGAGCACGUCCCUCUUCUCAGCCAAAGCCCCGGCCCCCACCCGCCGCCGCCAGUGCGCUG